UGGGCAGUAACUCAGUGGUUGAGCUCUCGCUUCGUACGAGAGAAGACCUGGGUUCGAUUCCCGGCUGCUUGC
Molecule: transfer RNA, 72 nt
Organism: Toxocara canis (dog roundworm)
Lineage: Eukaryota; Metazoa; Nematoda; Chromadorea; Rhabditida; Toxocaridae
Rfam family: tRNA
About the family: Transfer RNA (tRNA) molecules are approximately 80 nucleotides in length. Their secondary structure includes four short double-helical elements and three loops (D, anti-codon, and T loops).
Source: Rfam